GAUGAACGCUGGCGGCAGGCCUAACACAUGCAAGUCGAACGGUAACAGGAAGCAGCUUGCUGCCUAGCUGACGAGUGGCGGACGGGUGAGUAAUGUCUGGGAAACUGCCUGAUGGAGGGGGAUAACUACUGGAAACGGUAGCUAAUACCGCAUAACGUCGCAAGACCAAAGAGGGGGACCUUCGGGCCUCUUGCCAUCGGAUGUGCCCAGAUGGGAUUAGCUAGUAGGUGGGGUAACGGCUCACCUAGGCGACGAUCCCUAGCUGGUCUGAGAGGAUGACCAGCCACACUGGAACUGAGACACGGUCCAGACUCCUACGGGAGGCAGCAGUGGGGAAUAUUGCACAAUGGGCGCAAGCCUGAUGCAGCCAUGCCGCGUGUAUGAAGAGGGCCUUCGGGUUGUAAAGUACUUUCAGCGGGGAGGAAGGGAGUAAAGUUAAUACCUUUGCUCAUUGACGUUACCCACAGAAGAAGCACCGGCUAACUCCGUGCCAGCAGCAGCCGCGG
This 506-nucleotide ribosomal RNA is filed under the name uncultured bacterium. RNAcentral's name for it is "partial 16S ribosomal RNA". It matches the Rfam family "Bacterial small subunit ribosomal RNA", at positions 28 to 523 of the family's 1533-position model. The record is from RNAcentral.